AGAGACAGCAGCAGCCGCGGUAAUACGAAGGGUGCAAGCGUUACUCGGAAUUACUGGGCGUAAAGCGUGCGUAGGUGGUGGUUUAAGUCCGUUGUGAAAGCCCUGGGCUCAACCUGGGAAUUGCAGUGGAUACUGGGUCACUAGAGUGUGGUAGAGGAUAGUGGAAUUUCCGGUGUAGCAGUGAAAUGCGUAGAGAUCGGAAGGAACAUCUGUGGCGAAGGCGACUAUCUGGGCCAACACUGACACUGAGGCACGAAAGCGUGGGGAGCAAACAGGAUUAGAUACCCCCGUAGUCCCUGUCUCUUAUAC
This 309-nucleotide ribosomal RNA is filed under the name uncultured bacterium. RNAcentral describes it as "partial 16S ribosomal RNA". It matches the Rfam family "Bacterial small subunit ribosomal RNA", at positions 504 to 807 of the family's 1533-position model. The record is from RNAcentral.